RNAcentral lists this ribosomal RNA (840 nucleotides) under uncultured organism. Its description in RNAcentral is "SSU rRNA". It matches the Rfam family "Bacterial small subunit ribosomal RNA", at positions 29 to 832 of the family's 1533-position model. The record is from RNAcentral.
AUGAACGCUGGCGGCGUGCCUAAUACAUGCAAGUCGAACGAGUUCUGAUUAUUGAAAGGUGCUUGCAUCUUGAUUUUAAUUUUGAACGAGUGGCGGACGGGUGAGUAACACGUGGGUAACCUGCCCUUAAGUGGGGGAUAACAUUUGGAAACAGAUGCUAAUACCGCAUAAAUCCAAGAACCGCAUGGUUCUUGGCUGAAAGAUGGCGUAAGCUAUCGCUUUUGGAUGGACCCGCGGCGUAUUAGCUAGUUGGUGAGGUAACGGCUCACCAAGGCAAUGAUACGUAGCCGAACUGAGAGGUUGAUCGGCCACAUUGGGACUGAGACACGGCCCAAACUCCUACGGGAGGCAGCAGUAGGGAAUCUUCCACAAUGGACGCAAGUCUGAUGGAGCAACGCCGCGUGAGUGAAGAAGGCUUUCGGGUCGUAAAACUCUGUUGUUGGAGAAGAAUGGUCGGCAGAGUAACUGUUGUCGGCGUGACGGUAUCCAACCAGAAAGCCACGGCUAACUACGUGCCAGCAGCCGCGGUAAUACGUAGGUGGCAAGCGUUAUCCGGAUUUAUUGGGCGUAAAGCGAGCGCAGGCGGUUUUUUAAGUCUGAUGUGAAAGCCCUCGGCUUAACCGAGGAAGUGCAUCGGAAACUGGGAAACUUGAGUGCAGAAGAGGACAGUGGAACUCCAUGUGUAGCGGUGAAAUGCGUAGAUAUAUGGAAGAACACCAGUGGCGAAGGCGGCUGUCUGGUCUGUAACUGACGCUGAGGCUCGAAAGCAUGGGUAGCGAACAGGAUUAGAUACCCUGGUAGUCCAUGCCGUAAACGAUGAAUGCUAGGUGUUGGAGGGUU